GACGAACGCUGGCGGCGUGCUUAACACAUGCAAGUCGAACGAUGACGCCCGAGCUUGCUCGGUCUGAUUAGUGGCGAACGGGUGAGUAACACGUGAGCAACCUGCCCUUCACUCUGGGAUAACCUCGGGAAAUCGGGGCUAAUACCGGAUAUGAGCUCCUGUCGCAUGGCGGGUGUUGGAAAGUUUUUCGGUGAAGGAUGGGCUCGCGGCCUAUCAGUUUGUUGGUGAGGUAGUGGCUCACCAAGGCGAUGACGGGUAGCCGGCCUGAGAGGGCGACCGGCCACACUGGGACUGAGACACGGCCCAGACUCCUACGGGAGGCAGCAGUGGGGAAUAUUGCACAAUGGGCGAAAGCCUGAUGCAGCGACGCCGCGUGAGGGAUGACGGCCUUCGGGUUGUAAACCUCUUUCGGCAGGGAAGAAGCGAAAGUGACGGUACCUGCAGAAGAAGCGCCGGCUAACUACGUG
This 467-nucleotide ribosomal RNA is filed under the name uncultured bacterium. Its description in RNAcentral is "partial 16S ribosomal RNA". It matches the Rfam family "Bacterial small subunit ribosomal RNA", at positions 28 to 507 of the family's 1533-position model. The record is from RNAcentral.